RNAcentral lists this ribosomal RNA (497 nucleotides) under uncultured bacterium. Its description in RNAcentral is "partial 16S ribosomal RNA". It matches the Rfam family "Bacterial small subunit ribosomal RNA", at positions 28 to 507 of the family's 1533-position model. The record is from RNAcentral.
GACGAACGCUGGCGGCGUGCCUAAUACAUGCAAGUCGAGCGCUGAAGGUAGGUACUUGUUCCUCCUGGGUGAGCAGCGAACGGGUGAGUAACGCGUGGGGAAUCUGCCUUUGAGCGGGGGACAACAUCGGGAAACGAGUGCUAAUACCGCAUAAAAACUUUAAACACAAGGUUUAAGUUUGAAAGACGCUAUUGCAUCACCCAAAGAUGAUCCCCCCUCGUAUUAGGCAGUUGGGGAGGUAAAGGCCCACCAAGGCGAAGAUACAUAGCCCGCCUGAGAGGGGUGUCCGCCAACUUGGGAAUGGGACAACGCCCAAGACCCCACGGGGGGCAGCAGGAGGGAAUCUUCGGGCAUGGGGGAAAGGCUGACCGGGCAACGCCGCGGGAGUGAAGAAGGUUCUCGGAUCGUAAAACUCUGUUGGUAGGGAAGAACGAUGGUUGGAGGUGAAAGCGCAUGAAGUGACGGUAACUACCCAGAAAGGGACGGCUAACUACGUG